GAGAAUCACAAGUUCAUGGAAGGUUGCCUAGACAACCAAACUCAGGCCCCACCCACAGUGCCUGGCAACCAAGGCCAGUCAGAGGUGCAGCAGAAAAUGGAUACGCCUCCACAAGAGGCUCCAGAUGGAUCCUUGAACUAUGAAAACACAGACAACGGAUCUGAACAUGCUGGGGUUGGAUCAUCCGAGCAAACUGGCGGCAAAGCAUCCAGCCAAACUGCUAAUGCUGGGUCUGAACAGACCGACCAAAGAACUCCUGAAGAGGCUUUUCAGUUGACUGACCACAGGAGAACAUCUCAGCAGGCUGACCGCACAUCAUCUAGUCAGGCUGAGAGAAGAACUUCUGAGCUACCUAAUCAGCCAUUGCCCAGUUUGCUUGAGGGAAAAGCCUCUGAGAAGAUAGAUGAUCAAGUGUCGUUGCCCUCUGGUGGGAAAGCUUCUGAGAAGACUGACCAAGAAUCUUCGGAGCGUGAUGAGCAGACUUCAUCAGACCAAGAUGACUAUAAGACAUCAGAAAAGAGUCAACACGAAGUCUACAACCAAGAUGACUUCCUAGAUGAAGAUGACCUUGAUCAACACAGGUUGAGUGAGGACAGCAACCGAAUUAGCCACGAAACAGACAAACAGGCUGACCACCGCUCAUACUACAGAACACUUGCCCAGGCUGAGAACCGCACAUUAUCUGAAAUUGGUGACAACAAAGAGAUCAAAGAAGCUGACUUCAAAAUACAGCCUUGCACAUUUGAAGAUAGCCAAACGGACAACACAUCUGAUGAGGAAACAGAGAGUACAACCACUACCCAAGCUUACAACCUACCUGAUACUGAAUUCACCAGCGAGUCCCAGUCCUCCUAUGACAAACUGCCCUCCAUCACCAACAAAGUGUACCACACCUCCAACCAAGACAAAAUUCAGACCACAGAAAUCACUACUGAUAUUCUUACAGACUUUGAGCAAAGAAAGAGUUCUCAGAGACCAAGUCAAACUUACGGGAGGCGAUUCCCUCCAAUCAUUUUUGAAGACCCUUAUCAAGUUGCACUCCGCUACAUGGAAAAGCACAACAUUCUUCAGAUAUUCCAGCGGAUCACUGAAAACCUAGUCUAUGAAAAGCCGGAUGACCCUCUGAAAUUCAUGCUAGACCAGGUAUGGAGUGGGAGAGAACAACCCUUCUGUUCUUAUUGUCGGAACGUGGCACACACAGAGACAGAUGGACAAAACAGACCAUGAACAGCUCCAAGCCAUCAUGAAGGAAACGUACUGCAGCUUCCAUCCAAGAGUUUUUACUGAAGUCCAGAACAAAUCUCGGGAUGGGGGCUCACCUCCUGAAUGCCGGUGCUCAGGGAGCAGAAGCAGGCAGAUCUCUGUGAGUUCAAGGCCAGCUAGGACUACAUAGUGAGACCUUGUCUCAAACUAGAAAAGAGUGGCUCAGCAUCAUAGAAGGCCCCCUCCUCAUGAGUUCCCACACAGGAGUUGCUUAUUUUGACCUCUCUAAGAGCUUGCUCACUCUGCUUUAAAAUUUUACUGUCAAACAUGAAUCAUGAAACCCUUUUGUUGAGACCUGUAAGCUCUCUGAACUGUCUUUGCUCAGAGCUGUUUUCAUCUUCUCUCUUUUGUCCCAAAUUCUGUCUGGAAGACGGAGCCUUCUGUUGCAUGUAGCUGUUCAUCCAUUUUCAUCUCUGCAUGCUAUCAUCAGGUAGACUACUGCAGCUGAUUCAUCCUCUUUUCCAAGGACAUGCAGAAUAUUUCCAAUUUGGAGCUGUCACGAGAAACCUUGCAGUACAGGACAUGAUCCGAUUCAGAGACGAGCAGAGGAACAUCUGAAGACUAACUCUCGCCAGCACUGUGCUCUGUCACCCACGUCAGCUCUGUGCUCCUCUCUCCCUGGAAAAAAUGUGUUUUCAGCAGGCAUUGACGGUGA
Molecule: non-coding RNA, 1918 nt
Organism: Myodes glareolus (Bank vole)
Lineage: Eukaryota; Metazoa; Chordata; Mammalia; Rodentia; Cricetidae
Source: RefSeq, a predicted model, not a curated record